GAUCCUGGCUCAGGAUGAACGCUGGCGGCGUGCCUAACACAUGCAAGUCGAACGAAGCAAUCAGAAUGAAAUUUUCGGAUGGAUUUCUGGUUGACUGAGUGGCGGACGGGUGAGUAACGCGUGGAUAACCUGCCUCACACUGGGGGAUAACAGUUAGAAAUGGCUGCUAAUACCGCAUAAGCGCACAGUACCGCAUGGUACGGUGUGAAAAACUCCGGUGGUGUGAGAUGGAUCCG
Molecule: ribosomal RNA, 236 nt
Filed under: uncultured bacterium
Lineage: Bacteria
Description: partial 16S ribosomal RNA
Rfam family: Bacterial small subunit ribosomal RNA
Source: RNAcentral